UCACCACUCAAGCCUCGCUUGGUAUUGGGCAACGCGGUCCGCCGCGUGCCUCAAAUCGACCGGCUGGGUCUUCUGUCCCCUAAGCGUUGUGGAAACUAUUCGCUAAAGGGUGUUCGGGAGGCUACGCCGUAAAACAACCCCAUUUCUAAGG
This 151-nucleotide small nucleolar RNA is filed under the name Cladosporium sp. CBS 115985. Its description in RNAcentral is "internal transcribed spacer 2". Lineage: Eukaryota; Fungi; Ascomycota; Dothideomycetes; Cladosporiales; Cladosporiaceae. The record is from RNAcentral.